AUUGAACGCUGGCGGCAGGCCUAACACAUGCAAGUCGAGCGGUAACACAGGGAGCUUGCUCCUGGGUGACGAGCGGCGGACGGGUGAGUAAUGUCUGGGAAACUGACUGAUGGAGGGGGAUAACUACUGGAAACGGUAGCUAAUACCGCAUAAAGUCGAAAGACCAAAGAGGGGGACCUUCGGGCCUCUUGCCAUCAGAUGUGCCCAGAUGGGGUUAGCUAGUAGGUGGGGUAACGGCUCACCUAGGCGACGAUCACUAGCUGGUCUGAGAGGAUGACCAGCCACACUGGAACUGAGACACGGUCCAGACUCCUAAGGGAGGCAGCAGUGGGGAAUAUUGCACAAUGGGCGCAAGCCUGAUGCAGCCAUGCCGCGUGUAUGAAGAAGGCCUUCGGGUUGUAAAGUACUUUCAGCGGGGAGGAAGGCGACAAGGUUAAUAACCUUGUCGAUUGACGUUACCCGCAGAAGAAGCACCGGCUAACUCCGUGCCAGCCGCCGCAGUAA
This 504-nucleotide ribosomal RNA is filed under the name uncultured bacterium. Its description in RNAcentral is "partial 16S ribosomal RNA". It matches the Rfam family "Bacterial small subunit ribosomal RNA", at positions 30 to 523 of the family's 1533-position model. The record is from RNAcentral.